UACAGAGGGUGCAAGCGUUGUUCGGAAUUAUUAGGCGUAAAGCGCGUGUAGGCGGGAUGGCAAGUCGGGUGUGAAAGCCCUCAGCUCAACUGAGGAAGUGCGCCCGAAACUACCGUUCUUGAGUGUCGGAGAGGGUGGCGGAAUUCCCGGUGUAGAGGUGAAAUUCGUAGAUAUCUGGAGGAACACCGGUGGCGAAGGCGGCAUCCUGGACCGGUAUUGACGCUGAGGCGCGAAAGCCAGGGGAGCAAACGGG
Molecule: ribosomal RNA, 253 nt
Filed under: uncultured bacterium
Lineage: Bacteria
Description: partial 16S ribosomal RNA
Rfam family: Bacterial small subunit ribosomal RNA
Source: RNAcentral